RNAcentral lists this long non-coding RNA (3400 nucleotides) under Canis lupus familiaris (dog). RNAcentral describes it as "lncRNA (ENSCAFG00000052828.1, ENSCAFG00805000382.1)". Lineage: Eukaryota; Metazoa; Chordata; Mammalia; Carnivora; Canidae. The record is from RNAcentral.
UUUUAAAAAAUUAUCUUUAUUUAGGUUUCAGAUUCAGCACAUGUAUCAAAGACUAAUCAACAUAAAGAAGUAAAUAAGACAUUAAUUGGAAGUCUUACAUCUCUCUAAACUCUGACCAAUGUCAAGAUUGCCACUAUUACCAGAACUCCAACAUAGUCAAGUUGUAAACAAGCUAUCAUGAACAACACACAGUGUGCACGGAGAUGCAGAGGCAAAAGACAUGCUAGCACUGGGCUCUCCUCUCUUCCUUGCUGAUGUCUUCCCAUUUGACGGUCCACUUUUGCUUUCCAUGCUAAGUCCCAAAUAAAGUCCAAAGGCUCAAGGUCAACCUGACCAAAAACUCUUCCAGAGGAAUGCAUUCUUAAACUGUUGUGCCUGCAACCUUGUUUUUGCCAGGAUGAAGUUCAGAUCAAGAUGUACAAUACAAUCUCGAUGAUGGUGCAGACCGAGUCGAGAACUGAAGUUGAGCAGUAACCCGAGUUAAGGCAUGAAUGCACACACACACGUGCACACACACAGCGCCCGCGCUAUCACGAACGUAGGAUUCCUUCUACCGCCUCCCGAGAGGCAACCAGGGCUUGGCAGUAAACCACGACUGCUGAGCAUUCUGGAAAAUGCUCCCCAUAAUGUCAUGCUAACAGCUGUGUGUGUAUGUUUAAAAAAAAAAAAAAAAAAAAAGGUAGAAAAAAAAAACAACCACCCAGAAACGAAAACCUAAAAACCCCUUAAUCUCUUACAAUGGCUCUUGAGCAUGGAACUCAUGUAGCAGCGUCAAUGGCUGGCUCUUUAAUAAAUUUGGAAAUAAAAGAUUCUUUUACUAUGUAUUUCUUUGGUAGUUACCACUACAAAGUUGUCAGUGUUGGUUACCUAAAAGACAAGUACUGGACAGAAGAUCAAGUUACACAGAAAUGAUUCUUCUGUACUGGUAAGAGAAAAAUAUUGCGCUCUUGAAGCACAAGUUACGAUGCUUGUUCUCGCCUUAUUGGGCAUCCUCUAUAAGCAAGGCUUCGUGCAGGAAAAGUUCAUGUCUACCUAACAAAGGGCGAUACAUAGUCUAUUUUCCUACAAUUGAACAGUUAACAAAAAUUCACAUUAUCAAUGAUCUCUGGUCAAAUCAGUUAGAAGCCAAUUACAAAGGAGCGGCAGCACUUGGUGUCAAAGCCACAUUCUGGUCGCGCAUUCAUCCCACGGUUGUGGUCAGUAUCUCAGGAGCUCAGAAUUUAAAACUCCCUUCAAUUAACAAAGGAGUAAGUUGAAUUACAUCUUAAAUACUUCCAUCAUCUGCCAAAUUUCUAGAAUUCUGUCCAGAAAUGCCAGCAUGCUUGAUGAGAGAAAGCAAUUCAGAGCCCAGAGAGGUGUCAGGUAUUAGAUAAGUUAAUUUGGUUUUGUAUAAAAGGCAUGGUAAUCUGGCAACAGAGUACUUAUCCUAUUAGCAGCACAGUGGUAGCCAAGGGUCUCUGUCAGCAAGACAGGGAAAGGAAGCUACUGUUGCUCCCGGGACAGCUCCUGAUCUUAGAGGCCUUCCUUCGGGAAGUCGGUCCAGGGUGACCCUGAGCACGUGGGCCGCAGGAAUGGCAGUAACCAAAGUCAGCCCCCGUGAGAAGAGCCCGAGGUAAGUCAGCUUCCCAUGGAUGAAGGGGCUCUUGCCUCCAAGGGCUCGGGGUCUGGAUUUUAUGGGUCCCUGGUGGCUAGACCAUCACCAAGAACGGCCCUGGCAGGUAUCCUGCCCAUGUGUGACAGGCUCCACACAGGGUCAGAAACCACUUUAGAAGGGCAUGAAACAGCACAGACUCAAAAUAGUAGUGUUUGUUCUAUCAAUUCUGAAUGUCGGCAGGGAGAGGCAACUAGAUUUAUGUUGAAAAAGUGCUGUUUGAAGGAGCUGUGUUUUAUUUUGAAAUGAAAUGACUAGGGGAACCAGCACUACAUUUCUGCAAAGUCUGAAAGUCAAGAACCUAUUUCUAGAAGGCAUUUAUCAGGAACGGUUUGCUCACGCCAAGUGCUUUUUCAUUCACCAUAUGGCAAUGUUUUGACUUUUGUGCUUUCGGGAGGUAACUCAAUUGACAGGAAGCAGAGGGAAGCUCAUUACAUUAUGGACUUUCUCAUUUGAGUGCAAGCCACUAUCCCAACAGCAUUGAAUUCUAUCAUCUCGCGAAAGAUUCUUGUAAACAUAGACCAUAUUUCUCCUAUGAGAAAAACCAAGAACUGUACCAUGAAGGCAAAAUUUGUUUGCCUCCUCUCAGAAUUCCUCGGAAUGGCAAUGUACCAGGAGGGACGGCAGGCUGUUGGUGAGAUCCCUGGGUUUGCUAAGACCCCGUCCGAUCGAAUUAAAAAUCUAAAGCCUCAAUAAUUAAAUGCCAAACUUGUUCCCCAUAUCUGAGAACUGUACUAUGAUUAUGUAUAUUACAUACACAUUAUAAAUAAAAUUUAUAUAGACCAAUUGAGGAGUGAAGUUCAGGGGUGAAAGCAGGAAGAGGUGAAAAAUCCUAUUGUUGCUUUUACUCUCGAGUUCUUAAAAUGCUAGUCAAACACUAUUAUCCAACAAGACUUGUUUCAUUCUGUAAUUCUUAAAUAUGCAUUCGAAGGCAAAAAUGGAAGUCUCUAUACUGUACACUAUUAAAUAUCUACAAUGUCACGGUUCCUUAUUUUUAGGAGUGUGUUCAAUAAAGAGCUAGCUAUUAGAGAUGGGUGUCACAAAACAUGGACUCUUAAAAAUUACCGAUAAAUUAAUUUUCAGUUCUCUGAUUAUAUCCAACAGAUACACAUUCUCAUCAUAAAAUAUACAUUCUCUAGUAAGUUAUUUUCGUCCACAGCAUAUAUAAAUAUGCAAACACAGGUGGUAAAAAUCACUUUACUACCAAAGUACAAAACAGUAACUGCUGAAAAGCAAAAAUAAAGAUGUUGCAAGUAUUAAGAAAAGAGUGACUCACAGUGUUCCACUUCCAAGUGAAACCAAAUGAUUUAUUUGUGCUAAAUGAAUGGAAAUAAUGUAUUCAGAGUAUACUUGUUUGUACACUGCACUUGCUUAUACUGGGCAACACAAGUGCUCAUCGAUGCUCAUGUGCUACCGUCUUCUCACCUCUUUUCUUUUCUGCCAAGCAAUAAAGUAUUCUGAGGCCGCUAUGCCAAGAUAUUCCUAUAAUGUUCAUUUCAAAUAGUACUUUCUAAUAGUAUUUUGCACCUUUAAAAUAUUUGUUCAAACUCUAUUUUAGGGGAACACGAAGAACGGGAAGGGGAAGAUAGCUGUUUUUGUUACAAUCACGUUGCCUUCUGCAGCAGAAAUCAAAGAGCGUGUGUUCUAAUUGGCCAUCAGAACCACUGGUGGGCAGGACAGCAUUUAUGGACUGGUGUUAGAGGGGCCGGGUUGGGGAGAUUACCACUAAAGAUAAGGAAAGAAUCACAC